This 363-nucleotide ribosomal RNA is filed under the name uncultured Streptococcus sp. RNAcentral describes it as "bacterial SSU rRNA". It matches the Rfam family "Bacterial small subunit ribosomal RNA", at positions 1018 to 1382 of the family's 1533-position model. The record is from RNAcentral. Lineage: Bacteria; Bacillati; Bacillota; Bacilli; Lactobacillales; Streptococcaceae.
CUUCGGUACAUCGGUGACAGGUGGUGCAUGGUUGUCGUCAGCUCGUGUCGUGAGAUGUUGGGUUAAGUCCCGCAACGAGCGCAACCCCUAUUGUAGUUGCCAUCAUUCAGUUGGGCACUCUAGCGAGACUGCCGGUAAUAAAACCGGAGGAAGGUCGGGAUGACGUCAAAUCAUCAUGCCCCUUAUGACCUGGGCUACACACGUGCUACAAUGGUUGGUACAACGAGUUGCGAGUCGGUGACGGCGAGCUAAUCUCUUAAAGCCAAUCUCAGUUCGGAUUGUAGGCUGCAACUCGCCUACAUGAAGUCGGAAUCGCUAGUAAUCGCGGAUCAGCACGCCGCGGUGAAUACGUUCCCGGGCCUU